Molecule: ribosomal RNA, 253 nt
Filed under: uncultured bacterium
Lineage: Bacteria
Description: partial 16S ribosomal RNA
Rfam family: Bacterial small subunit ribosomal RNA
Source: RNAcentral
UACAGAGGGUGCGAGCGUUGUUCGGAAUUACUGGGCGUAAAGGGCGCGUAGGCGGCCAACUAAGUCAGACGUGAAAUCCCUCGGCUCAACCGGGGAACUGCGUCUGAUACUGGAUGGCUUGAAUUCGGGAGAGGGAUGCGGAAUUCCAGGUGUAGCGGUGAAAUGCGUAGAUAUCUGGAGGAACACCGGUGGCGAAGGCGGCAUCCUGGACCGAGAUUGACGCUGAUGCGCGAAAGCCAGGGGAGCAAACGGG